CUACCCAUGAUCUGUCAAUGAAUCAUUAGUUCGACUUGCUAGUAAACCUACUAAGUAUAUUCAAAUUAUAUAUCUAACGUCGCGUCUAACAUAAUCCGUCGCAUAACACGCUAUUAAUCAUGCCAGCGUAUGUCUUUUGAUUUGUUACGUCGCUAUCAUUUAUAACAACAAAUAGAUGUAUACAAGCAUAAAAAUGUACAACAACAUGCUUGCAAUCAAAGUAAUUAUACUUUUUUAAAAUUUUCUCAUUACAAUGCGAUUGGUGAAAAAAAUAUUUCUUCAAUAGUUUUAUUGAUUUUUAGUCUCAUUUAUAAUAUGCAAGUUAGAGCCAAAAAAUUAACAAUUCAUCCACAUUGAGGCUAGUAAUCACGACUCGUGCUGGCACAUGGAUUAGAAUGUAUCCAUUUGAAUACCCUUAUUUUUUAAUAGAUGUAUAGGUUAUAUAAGUUUUGGGAUUAAUCAAUUAUUUGUAUCCCCAAGCUGAUACGCAUUAAAUACCCAGCCUAUUUAAUUUGCACACCAAAAUAAUCCAAUGCCCACAACUUAGCCUUUAUCCACAAUAAAGCCCAUGACCAGGAAAAACAACCCUUAAUCAAAAUAACGACAACCCAAUUAAAGAUUUAUGUUCUUAGAAUGUUAGGCAAACGAGACAAAAGAAAAUUUAAUGGAAACAAAGCAACUCGAUAUCUUUCUCUAUUUUCUCCCCCAAAGAAAGUAAUAGAUAAACUAUAAGGACUUUGAACAAUCAGGUUGUCUCUCUUUUCAUUUAACUCUAAA
This 777-nucleotide long non-coding RNA is filed under the name Actinidia chinensis (golden kiwifruit). RNAcentral's name for it is "long non-coding RNA (ACHI_LNC000405)". Lineage: Eukaryota; Viridiplantae; Streptophyta; Magnoliopsida; Ericales; Actinidiaceae. The record is from RNAcentral.